GCCAUCCUAGCUCAAUGGUAGAGCAACGGUUUUGUAAACCGUAGGUUCGGGGUCCGAUCCCCCGGGAUGGCUCCA
Molecule: transfer RNA, 75 nt
Filed under: Candidatus Amesbacteria bacterium RIFCSPHIGHO2_01_FULL_48_32b
Lineage: Bacteria; Candidatus Amesiibacteriota
Also listed under: 2 other names
Description: tRNA-Thr
Rfam family: tRNA
About the family: Transfer RNA (tRNA) molecules are approximately 80 nucleotides in length. Their secondary structure includes four short double-helical elements and three loops (D, anti-codon, and T loops). Further hydrogen bonds mediate the characteristic L-shaped molecular structure. tRNAs have two regions of fundamental functional importance: the anti-codon, which is responsible for specific mRNA codon recognition, and the 3' end, to which the tRNAs corresponding amino acid is attached (by aminoacyl-tRNA synthetases). tRNAs cope with the degeneracy of the genetic code in two manners: having more than one tRNA (with a specific anti-codon) for a particular amino acid; and 'wobble' base-pairing, i.e. permitting non-standard base-pairing at the 3rd anti-codon position.
Source: RNAcentral